This 67-nucleotide transfer RNA is filed under the name Turritella bacillum. RNAcentral describes it as "tRNA-Met". Lineage: Eukaryota; Metazoa; Mollusca; Gastropoda; Turritellidae. The record is from RNAcentral.
UUGUAAAGGAAUUAGUAUUCAUUUUUGGGUUAUGAGCCCAACAGCUUAGUUCUUAGCUUACUUUACA